RNA transcript from Hemibagrus wyckioides, 7464 nucleotides. RefSeq lists it as uncharacterized. The transcript is spliced from 11 exons. The record is from RefSeq and is a predicted model, not a curated record. Lineage: Eukaryota; Metazoa; Chordata; Actinopteri; Siluriformes; Bagridae.
UUGACCUCAGUGUAUAAAUAUGUCUUAAGCAGACAGUUGAUGUUUACCAGAGCGGUUCCCGUUCUCACGCUUGUUUGUGGCGGUUUUCGGUUGUGCCAGAGUGCAUGGGCUCUGUCCAGAAAUUAAAGUGAGUUUGAAGUCCACGCAAAUAUCGGGAAGCUACUUGGACCUGCCAAGAAGUGUGUGUGUGUAUGUCUGUGUGCGUAGGGGGGAUUAGUACAAAUAUUGACUCUCUCUUCACAUCAGCACAUCAAGUGGCCUUCAGCACUCGACUAAUGUAGUCUCAUCCUCAUUAAAGCACACACUCUAUCACUCAGGGUGCCUUUCCCUCUUCGCUUUGGAAGUCUAACUCCGUAGAUCUGGCUCUAUUUCAGUGCACACCCGAUUCUGUUAAACUCAUUUGCAUAUUGGAACGAAAACCUAUCGGUUUCCGAUAUGCAAAUGAUUUCGACUUGAUGAUGUCACAGUAACCGGGAUGGAUUAGCCGCAGCGCUAAGCUGCUUUAAUUUAUGCUAGGUUAUAUUUUGUUACUGUAGCGGUUGCUACGGUAACAUCGCAUUUUGGCUAAUUAGCUAGCUAGCUAAUGUUGGUGAUAUUUGAAAGCACAGGGGAAAAUUGAGGGGAUUUGAACAUUUGUCAUUCUUUGGUUGUGUGUGUGUGUGGAGUUUGUCACACAGCUGAGAGUUCCCUUACGUCCAGUCCGUCCAAACAUACUUCACAUACACACACCACGCGAGCCGCACACACACUUCUCACUCUGCUGAGUGAAUGUCUCACACUGAUGCAGGACUCCAGACUGCUCUGAAAAAAUGACUACGGGUCAUACCCAAGUGCAUGUUCCUAGCCGUCAUUUGACUCCACACACACACACACACACACACACACACACAGGACAGCUGCUCCAGGAUCAGAGCUGUUUAUAUAAACUUUCAUUUUUUCAUGCCAAAAACAUUUUACGAGACUUUUUUAUUUAUUUGUUUUUUAUUUGUUUUUGCAGGCUUUGCCAAAUUUAUUGUUGUUGUUUCCUCAAUCAAGCCCUUGCUUCUGGAAUCUUUAAUUUCCCUCUGGAAUUUGCUUCCGGAAUUCUUCUUUCGCUUCCCGAAUACUUCCUUUUUGCUUCUGGGAAUCCGGUCUUUGCCCAUAUUUCCCGAAAUCCUUCGCUUGCAUCCGGAAUUUCUUCGUUGCCUCAGGUAUCCUUAAUUUGGCUCCGCAAUCAGUUUUGCCAUGUUCAGAAGUGCCAGGAUUUAUCCUUCACUCCCAGAAUCUCGGGUUUUGACUCCGGAAUCUUAUCUCUUGCUCCAGGAUUCCUUUAUGGUGCUUCCAGAAUCUUCAUCUCAUGUCUUCAGAAUCUUUUCCUUUGCUCCGGAAAUUUUGUCUCUUCCUCCAGAAUUUCCUCGUCAGUGCUCCUGGAAGGUUUUCGCUAUCUCGGAAUCUUGCCUUUUGCCUCGGGAUUCUUGUGCUUCACCUAGAAAAAAUGGCUUGUCAUGUCUCUUUCUCGGGGCCUCAUUUGCCUCAAAAGCCUCAGGAAUAGUUCUUCUAUGCAUUUGGGAUCCUUCUGUAAUUUCCCGGAACGUUUCCGACACCCAUUUAUCCUGUUCUCCGAAAACUUUUCCUUCGUUCCAGAACUCCAUUGUUUGCCUGAGUAAUCUCAUCCCUGUCUCAGUGGAACCUUUUCUUUGUUUCCCUGGGAAUCCCUCAUCUGCAUAGGGAAUCUUGUGUGUGCCUCAGGACUAAUUCCCGAGGGCUCCAGGAAUCUUGACCUUUGCCUCUGGAAUCCCGUCUCUGCUUCUGUCUUUUAUCUCUAAUGAUCAAAAAAGAAGACCUUGAGGAAUAAAGCAGCACAAAUUCAGUUACUUUACUUUUAGAUUGUGUGUGUGUGUGUGUGUGUGUGUGCGCGUUGGUGCGGCCGGAUUAUGAGGACAAAAAGCCUGAAUACAUACCGACACUAUAAGGACACACCGUAACUAUAAGGACAUGGCUGAUGUCCUCAUAAGUCGAGCAACGUAGAAAGGCUUAUUUAGGUGCGCUGAACUACCUCUCGCUUUUUGGGAAAAAGUCUCAAUAAUUCCGCUCCACCCAUUUUUCGCGUGCAUCAGUGUAUGCUCAGAGUGUAUAUUCUGCCUCUAUCGGCAAUUCGCGCUACUGCAGCUUCAUUUGCAUAUCAGCCGGUCAGUGCGCGCGUUUCAUUGGUCGAGCUGCGGAAUCCUCGUCAGCGAUUGGCUGCUUUUGAUGUCCGUCAAAGUCAGCGACCUUCUGAACCUGCGGAGGUCAUUGGUCGAGCUGCAGAAUCCUCGUCAGCGAUUGGCUGCUUUUGAUGUCCGUCAAAGUCAGCGACCUUCUGAACCUGCGGAGGUCAUUGGUCGAGCUGCAGAAUCCUCGUCAGCGAUUGGCUGCUUUUGAUGUCCGUCAAAGUCAGCGACCUUCUGAACCUGCGGAGGUCAUUGGUCGAGCUGCAGAAUCCUCGUCAGCGAUUGGCUGCUUUUGAUGUCCGUCAAAGUCAGCGACCUUCUGAACCUGCGGAGGUCAUUGGUCGAGCUGCAGAAUCCUCGUCAGCGAUUGGCUGCUUUUGAUGUCCGUCAAAGUCAGCGACCUUCUGAACCUGCGGAGGUCAUUGGUCGAGCUGCAGAAUCCUCGUCAGCGAUUGGCUGCUUUUGAUGUCCGUCAAAGUCAGCGACCUUCUGAACCUGCGGAGGUCAUUGGUCGAGCUGCGGGAUCCUCGUCAGCGAUUGGCUGCUUUUGAUGUCCGUCAAAGUCAGCGACCUUCUGAACCUGCGGAGGUCAUUGGUCGAGCUGCGGGAUCCUCGUCAGCGAUUGGCUGCUUUUGAUGUCCGUCAAAGUCAGCGACCUUCUUAACCUGCAGAGGUCAUUGGUCGAGCUGCAGAAUCCUCGUCAGCGAUUGGCUGCUUUUGAUGUCCGUCAAAGUCAGCGACCUUCUGAACCUGCGGAGGUCAUUGGUCGAGCUGCGGGAUCCUCGUCAGCGAUUGGCUGCUUUUGAUGUCCGUCAAAGAACGUGCGGACUUGAUGUGUGGUGGAGAGAUUAAUAAUAAUUAAGCUAAAUUAGCUUAAUUGCAGCGAAGUUUUUACCUGUAAUAACGACAGAAGAGUGUCAUCUGCUCAUGCUGAAGGUAAGAACAUUUUUUUAUUUACCUUUAUGGCGGUGUGAGUCAGACAGAUUUUUAGGCUGGAUAGCUUUAAACUAUGUGUAUGCCGGCUAAUAAGGCUAAUAUCUAUUAGGAACUCCAUUAGCAUCAUCCACAACUCCAUUAGUGUCUCCAACACAUUUAUUUUAUGUGCCACGUGGGAGGCAAUUAGAAUAAUUUGUAUUAAUUAAUUUUUUGGUACAGAUGAAAUUCCCAAGUAGUUCAUAGGCAUGUUUAAUGACAUAUUUGACAUAAUAUAGUGAUGAAUGCUUGAGUAAAUUAAUUUAGUCAUAAAUAGUUUGUAUGAACAAUUUGUACACUUUUAUAAUGAUUUUGAUAUCAUAUAUAUAUAUUACAAGUAUAUAACAGAAACUUAGCUAAAGCAAAAUAACUAUUUGUAUUAUCAACUAUUAUUUAUAUGUAAAAUUGUAAAAUUGUGUAAUUAGGGAUACAGAUUUCACUAUAGUCUGACAAUAAUGUGAAGAUAUAAUGUUAUUUAACUAAAAUUUAUAAAGACGUUAUACUUAUGUUCUCUAAACUUUUUCAGUCAACAUGGUAAGAAAAAGGAGAAUAAAACCUGAAGAGGAUGCAAAAGAACACAUAUUGUCAGGCAAAGACAAGGCCUUCAUUGAGGGACGAGAAAUCAACACAUUUAAAGGGAGAGGUGUGUUUGCACUUGAACACAUUGAACCGUCCACCUUUGUUGUUGAAUAUCGUGGGAUUCUCUCUCAAAGUAAACAUGUUAAAGACAUUCAAAGCAGCUACUGGUUAGAUUUCACAUGGAAUGGAAAACGUUAUUGCAUAGAUGCUUCCAAAGGAGAUGGAACACUAGGCCGACUGGUGAAUGAUGAUCACAGAAAUCCAAACUGCAAAGUGAAGACAAUAAUUGUUGAAGGAAGGCCACACCUGUGCCUAUUUAGUAUGAGAUAUCUUUCCAGAUGACGAGGUUACAUACAACUAUGGAGAUUCCUCUUGGCCAAGGUUGCUGUGUGAAGACACAUCAGUGAGAGAGACUGAAUGUAGUAUCGAUACAUCCACUUCAGGGAAAGAGAAGGUGCCCUUUAAAGGCGAUUCAACUACAGUUGCCAAGAAAGGAGUUUCAGCUUGGACUGGAAAUGAAAUAGUAACUUGCACUUUAUAAUUGCCACCAUGAAGUUCACAGUGCUGUUAUCUCCAGUUUGGAUUCUUGUGAAGAGUGCACUGGACCUGUGUCAGGUCGAAAAUGGCUUUGUUUAACUUGCAAAUUAUGUUCAAGAUCAUGGCACAAAACCUGCUUCAUGAAGAAUGCCAGAGGUUGAAUUUUCCGGUUUUGAAGAAACCAGCUCUGAUGAACAGUAUUCUCCAUGCCCUGAACCUUUAAACAAUGAAUCUUCUGAUGACUUCAUUCCGGACUCUCAACAAAACAGUGAUAGUGAUGACAGUCUGUCUGUCAAGACACAGAAACUACCAUCUCAUAAGACCACACCAUCUGAGUCUUUUAAGAGGGCAAAGAGUGUUUCACAACUCACUCACUCUUCAUCCAUUGAGCAAGACAUGGUGAGUGAUAAAUCCAGCUCCACUCAAGAACUCUUUUGUGACUAUGUAGCCGGUAAUGAUCAUGAUACUACCACAAAAAACGCCGAGACGCUUCAGAGUUUUAAGAAGACACCAGUAAAAUCUUUUGAUAAACAGUCAACAAUUGACAAUAUGCCAAGCCCCAAAGAAUCCCCCCAAAAAAUGUUUUCCACCCAAAAAAUUACUGUUAUGUAUACAAAAAACCUCAGUCAAAAAUUGCCCGUCACUUUAAAAAGCAUCAAGACAGUGAGACAGAAAUUGCUGCCGCAUUCUUGCUCCCUAAACACUCCCAGGACCGAAGAAAGUUACUUGAGAAGCUACGGAACAGAGGCAACUAUGAACAUAAUCAAGAGGUUAUGGAAAAUAAAAGUGGACCACUGAAAAUUAGAAGAAGGCCAGGAAGAUCAGAGAUUAAACUGAGAGCCAAAACAUAUGUGCCCUGUGUGUACUGUAAAGGCCUGUUUGUUCGCAAGGAGCUGUGGCGCCAUACAUGGAGAUGUCCUUCAAAGAUGUCUUCAGAGUCUGAAGCAACUGGUAAAGCCAAAGUCUUAGUUUUGGCUGAUAUGUCAGAAUCAACUUUUUCCCAAGCAGUAUCUCCUGAGGUGUGGAAGAUCUUGGGAAAUAUGAAGAAUGAUGACAUUUCAUCUGUAGUUCGAAAUGAUUUUCUCAUACUCCAGUUGAGUCAGUGUCUUUACAACAAGUAUGGAAGUGAUCCAACAAAAUCCGAAUACAUCAGACAGAAGGUCCGGGAAAUGGGCAGACUCUUGCUAAGCUUAAGAAAAAAAUACUCCAUAUUUAGUUUUGAAGAUGCUGUGAAACCAAAUCAUUUUUACAAAGUCAUAGAGGCUGUGAAAGAUGUUGCUGGUUACGAUGAGAAGAGCCACUUGUAUAAGACACCAAGUCUUGCACUGAAGUUAGGACAUUCUCUCAACAAGAUUGGUGACAUUAUUCUUUGCAGGGCCAUCACAGAAGAGAAUGAUGGUAUGACUGAAGCAGCAGAGCGAUUCAAAAGACUGUGCUCAAGUGAAUGGGCAGAACACAUCUCCCAUGCUGCUCUUGCUACUUUGAGCAAAUCAAAGUUCAACAAACCAUCUACUAUACCAUUCACACAGGAUGUGCAGCUUCUCCACCAAUACCUAGAGAAGAAAUCUGCUGAUGCUUUUGAGCCUAAAGCCUAAAACAUCAUGAGUCUUCACAAACAUAUGCAGAACUUGCCAAAGUGACACUUGUACAAGUAAUAGUCUUCAACAGACGUCGUGCAGGAGAGGUCUCUAAAAUGAUGCUUGAGUCUUUCAAGAAAAAAGACCAGACUGAACUCCAUGAGGACAUAGCUGUCGGUCUCUCUCCAUUUGAGCAAAAAAUGUCCAAGCAGUUCAGCAGAGUAGAAACAAUGGGCAAAAGAGGGAGAAAAGUUGCUAUUUUGUUAAACCCUGAACUUGUCAGAGCAAUACAACUUCUUGUAGACAAGAGAGAUGCAUGUGAAGUAGACAGGGACAACACCUUCCUGUUUGGAAGACCAAAGUGCUCAGCAACCAGCUUCUUUAGAGGACAAGACUGCAUCAGGUUGCCAGAUGCAACUAUAGAAAUUGCAAAAAUCUCAAAGCUGCUCCUGGCAAUGGAGAAAGGAACUCUCACAAGUUUCCAAGGAAAAUCUCUGGAUGAAAUUGAAAUUCAAGAUAUGCUUUUCUAUAGAUGAAAUAGAUGUGGAAUUAGAUGAGGAAGAAAUAAGUGAUGAAGAUGAUGAAGAUUCAGAUCCUGUCCAUGAAGUAAGGGGGAAAAGAAAAAAUAAUCAGAAUGAAGCUGAGAGCUCCAGAGUGGCCAAAUCAUGGAGCCCAGAUGAAGUGAAUGCUGUCAUGAAGCAUUUCAAAAGUCAUAUUUUAAAGGGACACCUUGCAACAAAGGCAGAGUGUGAGCAGUGCAAGAGGGCAGAGGACCCUGUUCUAAAAGAAAGAACGAUACAAAAUAUAAGGGAUUUUGUGAGGAACCGAGGUGUGCAGUUCAGGAAAUGUUCUUAGGCCAGGAUUAGUGUCGCCUUCCAUUAAUGCUUGUGGCUUUUGUUCAAGUUGUUGAUCCAGUGAUUUCACAAGAGAAAGAGUUCAAGACACCAUAUUUAUUUUUGUUAAAAUGCUGUUUUUACAGAAAUUUGCAAAUAAAUGUAUUUUAUUGGAGAAUACAGAAAUUUGGCUUCAUUUCCACUGGUACCAUGUUUUAAGGCACAUUCUUUGAUGCAACUUAUUCCCAUGAAGGUCAAUCUCAUUGUUGAGGAUUUUUUAAUUUAUACUUUAUAAUUAAAAAAAUCUUUAUUUUAUACUAUCUUUUUACCUUUUCGUUGGUCCUGUUUGAAGUGUACAACUUGCUGAUUUUUAAUCACUGAACUUUCUCCACCAAGGCUAAUUUAACGUAAUUUGCAUUUUGCACCAAAUGUAUACAUGUUGCAUGAUAUAGCAGCGGCUCCAUGUAGCACUGUCCUUAGGUGUGCAUGUUUCUUCUGCAGGUUUUUGUGGCAGCAAAAAGAUUGUGAAUUUACUUUUCACUUUAGAAGAUCUGAUUUGGUUUAGUACUGUAUUUAGUUUGACUUAGUAGUUCAAAUUCAACUUCUUUUAAACAUUUGAAACAACCUUUUGUUGUCAGAUUGCAAUCAGAUUGUCCUCAUAAUCAAGGGUUAGUUAGGCUUGUAUGUGUGUGUAUAUGAGUGAUGUCCAGUGAAACCCAGAUUGUCCUCAUAAUCAAGGGUUAGUUGGCUGUGUGUGUAUGAGUGAUGUCCAGUGAA